CCUACGGGUGGCAGCCGUGAGGAAUAUUGGUCAAUGGGCGAGAGCCUGAACCAGCCAAGUCGCGUGAGGGAUGAAGGAUCUAUGGUUUGUAAACUUCUUUUAUCUGGGAAUAAAGUGAGGAACGUGUUCCUUUUUGAAUGUACCAUAUGAAUAAGCAUCGGCUAACUCCGUGCCAGCAGCCGCGGUAAUACGGAGGAUGCGAGCGUGAUCCGGAUUUAUUGGGUUUAAAGGGUGCGUAGGUGGUUAAUUAAGUCAGCGGUGAAAGUGUGUGGCUCAACCAUAAAACUGCCGUUGAAACUGGGUGACUUGAGUAUAGUGGAGGUAGGCGGAAUGCGUGGUGUAGCGGGGAAAUG
This 353-nucleotide ribosomal RNA is filed under the name uncultured bacterium. RNAcentral's name for it is "partial 16S ribosomal RNA". It matches the Rfam family "Bacterial small subunit ribosomal RNA", at positions 338 to 688 of the family's 1533-position model. The record is from RNAcentral.